This 831-nucleotide long non-coding RNA is filed under the name Cucumis sativus (cucumber). RNAcentral's name for it is "long non-coding RNA (CSAT_LNC001432)". Lineage: Eukaryota; Viridiplantae; Streptophyta; Magnoliopsida; Cucurbitales; Cucurbitaceae. The record is from RNAcentral.
CUGAUAGGUCAAGAAACUUUGAGAGGAGGAGGGAAAACAUGCAAAAUAGAGAUUUUCCAAAUCCUGCAACUGGACCUAACAUGAGUGCACCAGCUCCAGGUGGUAUGCCUCCCAACAACUUUAAUCCCAGCAUGCCUCCUCACAACCGCCAAGGCGAUUAUCCAGGAGGACCACCACCUCCGAACAAUUUUAACAGACCACCACCGCCACCACCGCACAACUACAGCGGACCACCACCACCACCACCACACAACUUCAGCGGACCACCACCACCACCACCACACAACUUCAGCGGACCACCACCACCACCACCGCACAACUUCAACGGACCACCACCACCACCACCGCACAACUUCAACGGACCACCACCACCACCGUACAACUUCAACGGGCCACCACCUCCUCCACCAAACAACUUCAACGGACCACCACCUCCUCCACCGAACAACUUCAACGGACCACCACCACGCAACUAUGCUUCAGCAUCACCAAAUCACGGAGGAGGAGGAGGAGGAGCACCCCACAACUAUGGGGGGCCACAGGAAAACAACUAUUGGGGAGCACAGCAGCCAAACAACUAUGGUGGACCUUCAAACUCUGGCCGGGGACCUGCAUAGAACAACUACUAUGAAGGGGUAAAAAAAGGCUAAUGGUGGUGGAUGGUCUAAUAUGUGCAUAAAAAUCAAGAAGAAUAGUCUAGGCGGUCAGGGUAGUCUAACGGUGGUGGCUGGUCACUGCAUUUUCGUUUUGGUGCUACAAACGAUGAGUUUAAUUUUGCUUUAUGAGUCGGCAUUUGUUUAAAAUCUGUUUAAGUCUUGUGUACAAUUUAAU